Maniola jurtina (meadow brown) is the source of this 74-nucleotide long non-coding RNA. RefSeq lists it as uncharacterized. The transcript is spliced from 3 exons. Lineage: Eukaryota; Metazoa; Arthropoda; Insecta; Lepidoptera; Nymphalidae. The record is from RefSeq and is a predicted model, not a curated record.
UGAGGUUAGUUCUGGCUAUGGGUUGGUGUAAAAGACCGGUUGCGUGGCGGGGAAUUCUGCGCGUUUUUAUAAAA